This 78-nucleotide transfer RNA is filed under the name Bacteroidales bacterium. RNAcentral describes it as "tRNA-Val". It matches the Rfam family "tRNA". Rfam says of the family: Transfer RNA (tRNA) molecules are approximately 80 nucleotides in length. Their secondary structure includes four short double-helical elements and three loops (D, anti-codon, and T loops). Lineage: Bacteria; Pseudomonadati; Bacteroidota; Bacteroidia; Bacteroidales. The record is from RNAcentral. RNAcentral also lists the same sequence under 1 other name.
AGGGGCGUAGCUCAGUUGGUUCAGAGCGCUUGAGUCACAUUCAAGAGGUCAUCGGUUCGACCCCGAUCGUCCCUACCA